Molecule: long non-coding RNA, 424 nt
Filed under: Salvia miltiorrhiza (redroot sage)
Lineage: Eukaryota; Viridiplantae; Streptophyta; Magnoliopsida; Lamiales; Lamiaceae
Description: long non-coding RNA (SMIL_LNC013820)
Source: RNAcentral
AUCAUUACAGAAAAAGCUGGACCUCAGAAGACAGCAGAAAAAGAAAGUUAAAAGGUAGAACUUAUUCCAACACGAUGUUUGUACCUUCGGAAAGUGAUAUUGCAGAUAGUACAACAAAGCGGAACUGCAGCAGAAAGCACCGCCGAGACUCCUAAAAUUGUCGGAGUGAAUUUUGAAGCAGGAAAUUCGAACAAUGUGAGCAGCGAAACAAUGCACAAUCUCUUCAAAUUUAUUCCAAGUGAAAACCAGUAUUAUACAGCAGCGGAUAUGAGUAGGUGAAGUAAGAGACAACGUUUAAAGAGGAGCACUCGUCGGAAUCCCAUGUUCCGGCGUGAAUGUCGCCGGAAUUUGAGGCACUACAGAGAUAGAUAUAUGAGUAGUACUAGCUUUGCUUUUGGCUCGCAGUGAGCAUUCGUUUUUUUCG